UACCCUUUUCUUUGAAUUACAAUGCCUAACUUCUUUGAAUUCCAAACCCUUUACUACACUAACACUUUUUGUAUCCCCCUUAAGAACUCUAAACUUUUACUCU
Molecule: small RNA, 103 nt
Filed under: Arabidopsis thaliana (thale cress)
Lineage: Eukaryota; Viridiplantae; Streptophyta; Magnoliopsida; Brassicales; Brassicaceae
Description: ATSL199610
Source: RNAcentral